This 482-nucleotide ribosomal RNA is filed under the name uncultured bacterium. RNAcentral describes it as "bacterial SSU rRNA". It matches the Rfam family "Bacterial small subunit ribosomal RNA", at positions 29 to 487 of the family's 1533-position model. The record is from RNAcentral.
AACUAACGCUGGCGGCGUGCCUAACACAUGCAAGUCGUACGAGAAAGCCGGCUUCGGCUGGUGAGUAAAGUGGCGCACGGGUGAGUAACGCGUGGAUAAUCUGCCCUUAAGUGUGGAAUAACGUACCGAAAGGUGCGCUAAUACCGCAUAAUGCCUGGCAACACAAGUUGUCCGGCCAAAGAAGGCCUCUGUUUACAAGCUUUCGCUUCAGGAUGAGUCCGCGUACCAUUAGCUUGUUGGUGGGGUAAUGGCCUACCAAGGCUGCGAUGGUUAGCUGGUCUGAGAGGAUGAUCAGCCACACUGGAACUGAGACACGGUCCAGACUCCUACGGGAGGCAGCAGUGAGGAAUAUUGCGCGAUGGGGCGAACCCUGACGCAGCAACGCCGCGUGAGUGAGGAAGUUUUCGGACUGUAAAGCUCUGUCGAGCGGGAAGAAGUGUACCAUGGCUAAUAUCCAUGAUAUUUGACGGUACCGCUAGAGG